Non-coding RNA from Acanthosepion pharaonis, 114 nucleotides. NCBI's taxonomy places the organism in Eukaryota, Metazoa, Mollusca, Cephalopoda, Sepiida, Sepiidae. The record is from the annotation of a GenBank genome assembly.
UUACGGUCAAAUCACGCUGAAACACCGGUUCUCGUUCGAUCACCGAAGUUAAGCAUCGUAGAGCCAGGUCAGUACUUAGAUGGGGGACCGCUUGGGAACACCUGGUACUGUAAA